This 465-nucleotide ribosomal RNA is filed under the name uncultured bacterium. RNAcentral describes it as "partial 16S ribosomal RNA". It matches the Rfam family "Bacterial small subunit ribosomal RNA", at positions 28 to 507 of the family's 1533-position model. The record is from RNAcentral.
GACGAACGCUGGCGGCGUGCUUAACACAUGCAAGUCGAACGGAAAGGCCCUGCUUGCAGGGUACUCGAGUGGCGAACGGGUGAGUAACACGUGGGUGAUCUGCCCUGCACUUCGGGAUAAGCUUGGGAAACUGGGUCUAAUACCGGAUAGGAACCAUCUUUAGUGUGGUGGUUAGAAAGUUUUUUCGGUGUAGGAUGAGCUCGCGGCCUAUCAGCUUGUUGGUGGGGUAAUGGCCUACCAAGGCGGCGACGGGUAGCCGGCCUGAGAGGGUGUACGGCCACAUUGGGACUGAGAUACGGCCCAGACUCCUACGGGAGGCAGCAGUGGGGAAUAUUGCACAAUGGGCGCAAGCCUGAUGCAGCGACGCCGCGUGGGGGAUGAAGGCCUUCGGGUUGUAAACUCCUUUCGCUGGGGACGAAGCUUUUUGUGACGGUACCUAGAUAAGAAGCACCGGCUAACUACGUG